RNAcentral lists this ribosomal RNA (468 nucleotides) under uncultured bacterium. Its description in RNAcentral is "partial 16S ribosomal RNA". It matches the Rfam family "Bacterial small subunit ribosomal RNA", at positions 28 to 507 of the family's 1533-position model. The record is from RNAcentral.
GACGAACGCUGGCGGCGUGCUUAACACAUGCAAGUCGAACGGAAAGGCCCUGCUUUUGGGGGGUUCUCGAGUGGCGAACGGGUGAGUAACACGUGAGUAACCUGCCCUUGACUGUGGGAUAACUUCAGGAAACUGGGGCUAAUACCGGAUAGGAGCUCCUGCUGCAUGGUGGGGGUUGGAAAGUUUCGGCGGUUGGGGAUGGACUCGCGGCUUAUCAGCUUGUUGGUGGGGUAGUGGCUUACCAAGGCUUUGACGGGUAGCCGGCCUGAGAGGGUGACCGGCCACAUUGGGACUGAGAUCCGGCCCAGCCUCCUACGGGAGGCAGCAGUGGGGAAUAUUGCACAAUGGGCGGAAGCCUGAUGCAGCAACGCCGCGUGCGGGAUGCCGGCCUUCGGGUUGUAACCCGCUUUCGCAUGUGACGAAGCGUGAGUGACGGUAAUGGGUAAAGAAGCACCGGCUAACUACGUG